CUUCGAGUUCUUCGCUGGGGAGUAGCCGGCUUUCCGCAAUCGGAAAGCGCCCAUGUCAACACACUCGAUCGUCCGAUCGUGGCAUGGGCAGCCGUCGCAGUUGUUGACGCGGGUUGGCAAGACCAUCGACAGAGUGCGCUUGAAGGUCGGGGGCGCGGUCUGUCGCAUCUUCUUGCCCGACCGAAACGCC
RNAcentral lists this small RNA (190 nucleotides) under unidentified. RNAcentral's name for it is "Candidatus Burkholderia Manganese sequence". It matches the Rfam family "Manganese Mn2+ riboswitch aptamer (yybP-ykoY)". Rfam says of the family: This RNA was originally discovered in E. coli during a large scale screen and was named SraF. The family was later found to exist upstream of related families of protein genes in many bacteria, including the the yybP and ykoK genes in B. subtilis. The specific functions of these proteins are unknown, but this structured RNA element may be involved in their genetic regulation as a riboswitch. The record is from RNAcentral.